GAUGAAGAACGCAGCGAAAUGCGAUAAGUAGUGUGAAUUGCAGAAUUCAGUGAAUCAUCGAAUCUUUGAACGCACAUUGCGCCCUUUGGUAUUCCAAAGGGCAAGCCUGUUCGAGCGUCAUUUGUACCCUCAAGCUUUGCUUGGUGUUGGGCGUCUUGUCUCUAGCUUUGCUGGAGACUCGCCUUAAAGUAAUUGGCAGCCGGCCUACUGGUUUCGGAGCGCAGCACAAGUCGCACUCUCUAUCAGCAAAGGUCUAGCAUCCACUAAGCCUUUUUUUCAACUUUUGACCUCGGAUCAGGUAGGGAUACCCGCUGAACUUAAGCAUAUCAAUAAGCGGAGGA
Molecule: unclassified non-coding RNA, 341 nt
Filed under: soil metagenome
Description: partial contains 5.8S ribosomal RNA, internal transcribed spacer 2, and large subunit ribosomal RNA
Rfam family: 5.8S ribosomal RNA (bases 1-120)
Source: RNAcentral